Molecule: ribosomal RNA, 546 nt
Filed under: Triticum aestivum (bread wheat)
Lineage: Eukaryota; Viridiplantae; Streptophyta; Magnoliopsida; Poales; Poaceae
Description: partial small subunit ribosomal RNA
Source: RNAcentral
AUGGAACGGGAGGCGCGACACGUAACGGUGGUUCUUGCGGUGGCGGCUCUCGUCACCGCCGGCGGGCAACUCUCGCCCACCUUCUAUGACAAGACGCGCCCGUCGCUCCAGCCAAUUGUUCGACGUGGCAUGGCGCAAGCUGUGCCAGUUUCUAUAUUAUGGGACGCUCCCGUUUCGUCGCACGCAGUGGAGGGCACGCCCUCGGCCCAUUUGCGCGCUGCAACAUCUCGGUGUACUGAACGGCGGUGGUGGUCGGUGUUGGCGGCGUGGAGCUCUGUGGCGGCGGCGGAAGAAGUCAGCGGCGCUCGGGAGUGGGAGCGAGGAGGCGGGGUCGCGCGACAUGGAGCGCAUGAUGCCGGUGCGCGCCUGCGGCUGCUGCGCGGAGCAAGCACGCACGGCCUGCUGCGCGCGGGAGCUGCUCCCGCUCGCUGGCCGGACGAGGAGUCGGACGCGCCUUCUUCUCCUGGCGGCUCUCAAUUCUCAAAGGGCGGCGCUCCAGUGGCUCUUGAAGAACAAUUGGAUCCACGCACAAAAGUUGUUCGAUGA